GAUGAACGCUGGCGGCGUGCCUAAUACAUGCAAGUCGAGCGAACGGACGAGAAGCUUGCUUCUCUGAUGUUAGCGGCGGACGGGUGAGUAACACGUGGAUAACCUACCUAUAAGACUGGGAUAACUUCGGGAAACCGGGGCUAAUACCGGAUAAUAUUUUGAACCGCAUGGUUCAAAAGUGAAAGACGGUCUUGCUGUCACUUAUAGAUGGAUCCGCGCUGCAUUAGCUAGUUGGUAAGGUAACGGCUUACCAAGGCAACGAUGCAUAGCCGACCUGAGAGGGUGAUCGGCCACACUGGAACUGAGACACGGUCCAGACUCCUACGGGAGGCAGCAGUAGGGAAUCUUCCGCAAUGGGCGAAAGCCUGACGGAGCAACGCCGCGUGAGUGAUGAAGGUCUUCGGAUCGUAAAACUCUGUUAUUAGGGAAGAACAUAUGUGCAAGUAACUGUGCACAUCUUGACGGUACCUAAUCAGAAAGCCACGGCUAACUACGUG
Molecule: ribosomal RNA, 497 nt
Filed under: uncultured bacterium
Lineage: Bacteria
Description: partial 16S ribosomal RNA
Rfam family: Bacterial small subunit ribosomal RNA
Source: RNAcentral